Molecule: transfer RNA, 73 nt
Filed under: Ixodes scapularis (black-legged tick)
Lineage: Eukaryota; Metazoa; Arthropoda; Arachnida; Ixodida; Ixodidae
Rfam family: tRNA
About the family: Transfer RNA (tRNA) molecules are approximately 80 nucleotides in length. Their secondary structure includes four short double-helical elements and three loops (D, anti-codon, and T loops).
Source: Rfam by way of RNAcentral
UCCUGGUUAGCUCAGUCGGUAGAACGCUCCAUUGGAAACGGAGAGGUACCUGGCUCGACACCAAGACCAGGCG